Molecule: ribosomal RNA, 438 nt
Filed under: uncultured Desulfuromonas sp.
Lineage: Bacteria; Pseudomonadati; Thermodesulfobacteriota; Desulfuromonadia; Desulfuromonadales; Desulfuromonadaceae
Description: bacterial SSU rRNA
Rfam family: Bacterial small subunit ribosomal RNA
Source: RNAcentral
AAUUCGACGCAACGACGCAGAACCUUACCUAAACUUAACAUCCCGAUCACACCUUUUGGAAACUUAAGGGUCAGUUCGGCUGGAUCGAUGACAGGUGCUGCAUGGCUGUCGUCAGCUCGUGUCGUGAGAUGUUGGGUUAAGUCCCGCAACGAGCGCAACCCUCGUCCUUAGUUGCCAGCAUUAAGUUGGGCACUCUAAGGAGACUGCCGGUGUUAAACCGGAGGAAGGCGGGGAUGACGUCAAGUCCUCAUGGCCCUUAUGUCCAGGGCUACACACGUGCUACAAUGGCCGGUACAAAGGGUAGCAAGACCGCGAGGUGGAGCCAACCCCAAAAAGCCGGUCUCAGUUCGGAUUGGAGUCUGCAACUCGACUCCAUGAAGUUGGAAUCGCUAGUAAUCGUGGAUCAGCCAUGCCGCGGUGAAUACGUUCCCGGGCCUU